GACGCUGGAAUUUUCAGCGUCUC
RNAcentral lists this small nuclear RNA (23 nucleotides) under Arabidopsis thaliana (thale cress). RNAcentral's name for it is "snRNA_04458". Lineage: Eukaryota; Viridiplantae; Streptophyta; Magnoliopsida; Brassicales; Brassicaceae. The record is from RNAcentral.